UACGGAGGGUGCAAGCGUUGUUCGGAAUUAUUGGGCGUAAAGCGCGUGUAGGCGGUUGGUUAAGUCUGAUGUGAAAGCCCUGGGCUCAACCCGGGAAGUGCAUUGGAAACUGGCCAACUUGAGUACGGGAGAGGGUAGUGGAAUUUCGAGUGUAGGGGUGAAAUCCGUAGAUAUUCGAAGGAACACCGGUGGCGAAGGCGGCUACCUGGACGGCUACUGACGCUGAGACGCGAAAGCGUGGGGAGCAAACAGG
Molecule: ribosomal RNA, 253 nt
Filed under: uncultured bacterium
Lineage: Bacteria
Description: partial 16S ribosomal RNA
Rfam family: Bacterial small subunit ribosomal RNA
Source: RNAcentral